Molecule: ribosomal RNA, 465 nt
Filed under: uncultured bacterium
Lineage: Bacteria
Description: partial 16S ribosomal RNA
Rfam family: Bacterial small subunit ribosomal RNA
Source: RNAcentral
AUGAACGCUGGCGGCGUGCUUAACACAUGCCAGUCGAACGGAAAGGCCCAAGCUUGCUUGGGUACUCGAGUGGCGAACGGGUGAGUAACACGUGGGUGAUCUGCCCCGCACUUCGGGAUAAGCCUGGGAAACUGGGUCUAAUACCGGAUAGGACCACUUCUUGGAGGUUGUGGUGGAAAGUUUUUUCGGUGUGGGAUGAGCUCGCGGCCUAUCAGCUUGUUGGUGGGGUAAUGGCCUACCAAGGCGUCGACGGGUAGCCGGCCUGAGAGGGUGUACGGCCACAUUGGGACUGAGAUACGGCCCAGACUCCUACGGGAGGCAGCAGUGGGGAAUAUUGCACAAUGGGCGCAAGCCUGAUGCAGCGACGCCGCGUGGGGGAUGACGGCCUUCGGGUUGUAAACUCCUUUCGCUAGGGACGAAGCGCAAGUGACGGUACCUAGAGAAGAAGCACCGGCUAACUACGUG